AGGACGAACGCUUGCGACGUGCCUAAGAAAUGCAAGUCGAACGGACCAGCAGCAAUGCUGGUUAGUGGCGAACGGUCGCGUAACACGUGGGCAACCUGCCCUGAAGCGGGGGACAACAACUCGAAAGAGUUGCUAAUACCGCAUGUGUAUCGCUGUGGCAUCACAGAGGAUACAAAGCCGCAAGGCACUUCAGGAUGGGCCCGCGGCCUAUCAGCUAGUUGGUGAGGUAACGGCCCACCAAGGCUUCGACGGGUAGCUGGUCUGAGAGGACGAUCAGCCGGAUUGGGACUGAGAUACGGCCCAGACUCCUACGGGGGGCAGGCAAUUAGGAAUCUUGCGCAAUGGGCGAAAGCCUGACGCAGCGACGUCGCGUGAAGGAUGAAAUCUUUCGGGAUGUAAACUUCUUUUACCAGGGAAGAAUAAUGACGGUACCUGGUGAAUAAGCCCGGCUAACUACGUGCCAGCAGCCGCGGU
This 474-nucleotide ribosomal RNA is filed under the name uncultured bacterium. Its description in RNAcentral is "SSU rRNA". It matches the Rfam family "Bacterial small subunit ribosomal RNA", at positions 26 to 521 of the family's 1533-position model. The record is from RNAcentral.